Molecule: non-coding RNA, 6101 nt
Organism: Lepisosteus oculatus (spotted gar)
Lineage: Eukaryota; Metazoa; Chordata; Actinopteri; Semionotiformes; Lepisosteidae
Source: RefSeq, a predicted model, not a curated record
AUGCGCGUGGAGAUCACCUGGCCGAAGGGCUUCAGCAUGGCCUCCAGUUCCUGCUCAUCCAUGGACAGCGGCAGGUUGGAGAUGUACAGCCCCAGUCCAGCCGUGAGGAGCUCGUUUUGGGUUGCCAGCCCUGGUUGAAUGUGUUUGGGAGGUGUUCUGGAAGCAGGAGAUCUCAUAUUGGCUAAAAAAACAAGAUACCCUAAUAGGCAAGUGUUCCUGCAGUCUGAUACCUGGGCUGCCUUAUACACAUCUGCAGUGGGUAACUCUGGUCCUCCAGGGUUGGGGUCUUGCAGAUUUUCCAGUGGGCAAGCUGCCUGGCAAUCCAUCUGACCAAUCGGAAUCAUAGAGGGAAGGAACUGAGCCCCCUUCCUGUGUCAGCGAACCCAACUCCAGAAGAACUGCAGCUGCAGGCAUGAGUAUUCCCCGAGGAUGGCUUUAGUGGAGACGAUCUUCCCAUACCUGGAACACACAGACAGUCAGCUGAGGUGCAUGGGACUUCGCACUGUGAUUUAGUCCCCACAGUGGGGAGCUGGGGCCUGUUUUGACCCAUAGCGCAACAGUUCUUCAUGCUGUAUCCAGAUGCGUCGGAAUCAUACUGUCCUUCCACCGUGCUUUGCUUUUGCUGGGGUCCCGUGUUGACGAAACUGAUCAAUGUAAAACAGACAGUCCGCCUGUCCGGCAACCGUCCUCAGAGUGCAGGUGCGUUCUCUUGCCUGUGCUAUUGCCCUUCCUGAGGACAGACAUGCACGUGCUGGAUAAGGGCCCCAGCAAUAAGGAACACCUUCCUUCAGUACAACAGGCAUGCGCCUUUUAUUUUCUACCACGUUGAAAGUCGAAACAAUCCAGUUUUGUGGUGUGCAGUCCUUACUGGCGAUGCUGCAGUGCAGGGAAAGCCAUGUUGUACUGGGUUGCAUUUACUCUACUUCCUGUGGAUUCCUCUCAUUUCGAGUGGCCUAGCCGUGCUUUGCCGCCCUGUGCUGCUCUGCAGGGUGUCGCCGGGGCAGGCAGUGGGACAGCGUGCUACACCUUUGUGUGCUACCUGGUGCAGUAUUGUUCGUGCGCAGUGCGCCGGGGAUCAGACGCUCUCCUGGCGUGCCGUGCAGUGUAACCCGAUCUCUCUCCCAGUCCUGCGCUGGCAGGGCUCCAGGCGGCUGCCCUGUUCUCAGCCUCCGACAGGCAGGAGCAGGCAGAGCUGGGAGGGCCUCCAGCCGCCGGGUCCUACUGCACCCUGCCCUGCUGCCGCCACCAGCCCAGAUCCGCCACACGAACAAAGGCAGCCCUGUGGCUCCGCUGGCAGCCCGCACGGGCUUGUGUUUACCUGGAGGGAGCCCCGCAGAGGUGCUCGCCGGAGGAGCAGGGACACUUGGCCCUUCACGCGGGGCUCUGUACAGCUGUCUGAUGCUAUCAGCGGUUCCCGAUCGCUUCCUACAAGGGGCCUCACUCGUGAAAUCUCGGCAGUAACAGUAUGAGAGGCCAGCCUUGGCAGCUGGAGAAACACACCAAGGGCUUAGAGAUCGCAGUGAGAGAGGAAGUGGCGUGAAUGAAGGUAGGAGGCUUCUGUGACGCGUUCUGGAGUCGCACCUUGAGCCCUAGGGGUGCUGUGUGUCGUGGGGGGGUGGGGAGGGGGGCACCUGGCUGUAAACAGCACUGUGGUGCACAGCGGGGGCAGGCUGGGAGAGCUGAUAUCAUUCGCAUUGCAGCCAGCCAGCCAGGCAGGGAAACAAUAGGCUGUUUGUUCACUGGGGUCCUGAUCAAAGCCUGGCUGUCGCACUCUCUCUCUCACGCACACACCUACAGACAUCAGUGGCCAGGAGCACUGCUGCUCACCCCUUCAGUUAAAAGGCCGUUAUCGCCAUUUACUAACAAAGUGCAAAUCUGAAUUUUCAGUGAAAAUUGUGUCGAUCCGCCUGCCACUGGUGCGUUUGUAGACUUGCAGCACCAAAGAGGUAAAUAUGAUAUUUUAGUGGGGAUUGUAUUUGCUUGGCCUUUAUUUAGCCUGGGCUAAUUUUUGUACUUGUGCAAACAGCAGAUAUGCCCAGAGAGGUGUCAGCUUGUUUGGAGAGAGGCCUGCACUCCUCAGUGGUACCGAGGUGCAGGUUUGCAUGACUACCUUGAUGACCUAGAGAUGAAUUAAUUGAAAUACACAGCACACUCAGUCACAUUUGUGCAAUUUGUACAUAGGUUUAUGACACAUCGGUCGAAACAAGUAAGCACACCCUAGUUCUUUUUUCUCUCAUGGGAUGACAGGCGUACUGACAAGUGUUUGAGUUGUUCGUGUGAGAGCACGUGUCCGAGGGCUGUGUGUGCAUAACUGGGAUCUGUACAGAAAUGUUGGCUCCCGCACCCCACCCCAGCCGUCUCUGCAUCAAAGUAAUGAAGAAGAACAAGCCUGUCCAGGUUGAGCGUGUUCACAAAAGUACUCUAAAAGGUGACCUUUCUGUGUGACGAACCUCAGACCUCGCCAGAAGGAAGGAAGAGGGAAGGUUUAGUGGAGAGGCAGGCCCGCCGGCAUGUCUGUGAAUAGCCAGAGGACCUGGAAUGCGGAAAUGCUGUGACCUGUGACCCUGCUUGAAGUGACUUACAGUUCUAGUGGCUUUGGGAGCAAGGACGGGGGGGGGGGCGUCUUGCCCAUUUUACAAGCUUCCAGCUGAAUUCCAUUCAUCUCCAUCUGCCGCUACCUAUCUUUCCUUCCCUCUUCCCUCCCCUCCCCCUACGUUCUCAGACCUUUCUCCUGCCCCGAUCUCCUAACCUGCUUCUUCACCUCUGUUUUCCUUCCCUGAGUCUGCCAUUCUUUUUGAGAUUCCACAUCUUCCCUGUACCUUCCCUUUUCAGGUUCCCUUACCCUGUCCCUUGCUCCCUUCUCCCUCGUAUUUUGCUCGCUCUCUGUUAUCCAUUGCAGCCAUUCGUCUUGCGCGGUGGCAGCUGCACUUUCCUCCCCUGAUUCUGCCUCUCCUCCUCAUCUCCCCUCACUCCUUUUCUCUUGCUCUUUUUACACUUUUCUUUUCUCCCUCUGGGGUUCCUUGUUUCCUGUGGGAUAGGCAGUCUGUCAUGUGAGCGCUCUCUUCCAGACAGCUGAAAAGAAAAGUGCAGGCUCUCUCUGGUCAGCCACAGAUAUUUUUAUUACAGCUCUUUGGGCCUCAUGCCUUGAAAACCUUUUUGCUGGCUUAUCUGGAAUGAAAUCUACUUUGAUCAUCAAAGUUCAGGAACUUAAAACAAUAUUCCUUGUUGUGUGUGUGUGUGUCUGAUCUUGAUGUACUCAGUUUCUCAGAUUCCCCCAUAGCUCUUUACUUUUCAUUUAACAUGAUUUAAAAUAAUUAAAAAUGAACACAGACUAAGACAUUCAAAGACUAGAUUUUUUUUCAGGGGUGCUGUUGAAAGUGACUAAGUACGACUGAGAAGUGGAUGUUGCAGCAAGCUCUGUUUGUCCUCACAACAGUGCUGCAUAGAAUACACUAUAAUAAACAUUAUUAACAAGGCCUGUAUGAGGACCACAAGGUGUGCGUUCUAGGAAGAUGGCGAAUCACCUGCCUUUCAAUGCUCUUGAUACGCGUGCUGGUUUAUGUGCGCUACAGUGAAAGCUGUCCACUGGCUUUUCAGGACGAGGUAAAGGAACGUGACUGUGUUUUUAAGCUGACGCUCAAGAAAAUUGAGUUUUUGAUUCUGCCAGACUUGUCCCAGUCAAUAAGCCUGAUGUUAAAAAAUUGGAAUAUGAAAAAGCGAUUUAUUUUAAAUGGCUAUGGCUACUGUGUGGUUCUGUUGCAGAGGUGCAAUAGUGAACAUGAUCCGAGAGCAGCCCAGUCUGGGAGAUUGUGUAACUAGCGAGGAAGGAAUCUUGCUCAAACAGUGUCUGUGGAAACAGGCAAAGGGCAAAUUUCCCUAUUUUCCAGACAGGAGAGCGUAACCAUCUCUGGCACCAGCAAGGAAAACACAGCGGGUGUCAGAGGCUCCUUUCCUAACUAGACGUCUGCGUGAAAUUACCAUUUCAAAGUGUCAAACCGUCACGGGAGCAAAACAGAAACUAACAGGAAAGCAGUCUGUGCGUAGAAAGGGAAAGAAAGAUGAGGAGAGUACAGUGACAGGGAAAAUGGGCUAAAAAGCAGGAGUGAAAAGAAAGAUAAAAGAACAAGCCUGGGAAUUGUUGUUUUACCGUCUUCUUAACCGUGGAAUAAAAAAGUACCAAGCUCUUUUUGGAAAGUCUGGGCUCGGCGGUGAGCUGCCCUGCCCUGUUGAUGUUUCCACACAGUUCUGCUCAGGGCACCUUAAAGGUACUGUGCGCCAGAGUUCAAGCCCCGGGGUCCUGGUGUGCUAUAAUGUAACUGCGACGACCCCCUGAGCAACCUUCCUCAGCCACGGGUUACUGAGAACAAGAAGAGUGGACAUGCUCAUCCAGAUUCGGCUAACUGAUGGACCCGAGGAUCACCUGUAGGAAACCAGGGUACCGGCUUCUGCAAUGUGAUUGGGCAGCUCAUUUCAGUCUCCCGUCUCCUUUGGUGUGAAGAAGGACUUCCUGUUCUCACUUUUAAGAUUGCUUCCCUCUCAAUCGAGCCCGCCGAGAUGCUUUUUUUUUUGGUUUGUUUUUGAGAGGAAAAAAAGCCCCCUGAAUUAUCCAGUGUUUGCCAGAAAGGUUGGCAUAACCAAAAACUUUAUCCAUUGUCUUCAUCAGUCUGAUGUCUGAGCCUUGCACAGCUUUGGGCAGAACAUAAAUACCCUUUUAGGAUCAGGAGUCACAACAUGAAAUUGUGUCCAAAUACUCCCACUGAAUUGAAUAUGUAUGAACAUGCAUACAGCACUGCCUUCCCCUGUCUGGCUCUUGUCAUCUUCUGCUUCAUUUUAGCCGUCUCUGUGAUGCUAACUGACUUAGUUCAUAGAACCUUUGGCAACUGUUAGCAAGUAAAUUACGGGAGUGUUUUAGAAAUUUAGAAAACUAAAGCAGGAGUCAGGGUUCUGCACUUGUAACUUGUGGAUGGGCUGUGAGUUGGAGUCCCAGGUGAGACACUGCUAGUGUACCUUCUGUUGAGCAAAGAACUUAACUUGAAUUGUUGCAUUAGAAUACGGCGACUGUGUAAACAGGUGCAAAUGUAAGUCUUUUUGGUUAAAAGUGUCAGCUAAAUUAAUGAGUAAUUGGUAAAAUAAAAUGCUGAAGUUGUACUUCUACAUUUCUCACAAAUUCUGUUUGCACAAGUCGCCUUUAGACUAACCUGCCUCUUGCUGCAACUGUGACCGUGUGUGGCGUUGAGCUCACUCAUGUCUGUCGGCCACAUUCAGUGCUCAGCUUUUUCCACUGUCAGAGAUACUUGUGACUCAGCCCUUUUCCAUUUCAUCUUAUUCAAGAGCACAGAAUGUAGUCACAGUGGGCAGGACUUGUGGUCUAAGCAAGCUGUAAUAGCGAGCUGCAUUUUAAAUGUUUUUUUUGUUCAAUGAGAAGUCCAGGUUUUCCUCUCCAGUUGUUUACUAUUGAGUCGUGCACAGUGGCGUGAGGUACAUUUUCCCCCCUUAUAAAUGACAUAAAUUCCUAUGGAAAUAAAUGCUAUUUUCCUGUUGAGCACAAAUUGUGCAACUGCAUGUCUUAAGCUGGCAAAGACGAGCCUUAUUUUAUAAAUUGUUACAAUUACUAAUAGCAUCUUACGAAGAACAGCAGUGUCUAAGGACAGCACAGAUCGUCCCGGGGCUCCCCUAUUAGAGAUGACACUGUCCCAUGCUCCCUGCUUUUAUUUUUUUGUGGAGCAAAAUAAUAAAGAUGCUAUUUUUUAAAUUCAUGUCCACUGAUCCAUUUCGUAAAAAAAGGAGAUCCUUUCACCAUGGGAAAUUGGACAAGACUAGGGGUUGCAGCAGAAAGGGCUGCACUUGAAAGGCCAGCCACGGUCAAAGAUUUUCCAGCCCAGAAACCUCAAUUCCUGUGCGGGGGGGGGGGGUUGGGGGAAGAAAAAGGAUGCGAGUGGAAAAUAGGACGAGCGGCAGCCUUGAAAACGUGCCUGUUACGCGCUGCACCUGGAGCUGUCGUGCUUCUUUGGACGGUAGAAAUUCGGAGGAAAAUUCGCUCAGCCUGAAGGUUGGUUAAAUGUUCAGCCUCCGAUUAAAAUCUCACAGAGAGGAGGUGGGGG